This 426-nucleotide ribosomal RNA is filed under the name uncultured bacterium. RNAcentral describes it as "bacterial SSU rRNA". It matches the Rfam family "Bacterial small subunit ribosomal RNA", at positions 79 to 537 of the family's 1533-position model. The record is from RNAcentral.
CAAUCCCUGAGUAAACGUGGCGACCGGGUGAGUAACACGUGACUAACCUGCCUUCGAGUGGGGGAUAACCUCGGGAAACCGGGGCUAAUACCGCAUAAUGCCUUCGGGUUAAAGGAGCAAUUCGCUUGAAGAGGGGGUCGCGGCUGAUUAGCUAGUUGGCGGGGUAACGGCCCACCAAGGCGAUGAUCGGUAGCCGGCCUGAGAGGGCGCACGGCCACACUGGAACUGAAACACGGUCCAGACUCCUACGGGAGGCAGCAGUGGGGAAUUUUGCGCAAUGGGGGAAACCCUGACGCAGCAACGCCGCGUGGAGGAUGAAGUCCCUUGGGACGUAAACUCCUUUCGACCGGGACGAUAAUGACGGUACCGGUGGAAGAAGCCCCGGCUAACUUCGUGCCAGCAGCCGCGGUAAUACGAGGGGGGCGA